RNAcentral lists this ribosomal RNA (253 nucleotides) under uncultured bacterium. RNAcentral describes it as "partial 16S ribosomal RNA". It matches the Rfam family "Bacterial small subunit ribosomal RNA", at positions 524 to 776 of the family's 1533-position model. The record is from RNAcentral.
UACAGAGGGUGCGAGCGUUAAUCGGAAUUACUGGGCGUAAAGCGCGCGUAGGCGGCUCUGCAAGUCGGGUGUGAAAUCCCCAGGCUUAACCUGGGAACUGCAUUCGAGACUGCAUUGCUAGAGUAUGGGAGAGGGAAGUGGAAUUUCCGGUGUAGCGGUGAAAUGCGUAGAUAUCGGAAGGAACAUCAGUGGCGAAAGCGACUUCCUGGACCAAUACUGACGCUCAUGUGCGAAAGCGUGGGUAGCAAACAGG